Long non-coding RNA from Pecten maximus, 1745 nucleotides. RefSeq lists it as uncharacterized. The record is from RefSeq and is a predicted model, not a curated record. NCBI's taxonomy places the organism in Eukaryota, Metazoa, Mollusca, Bivalvia, Pectinida, Pectinidae. The transcript is spliced from 2 exons.
UAAUAUAAAUUAUAUAAAAACAUGCACAUCCUAUUAUGAUUUUGGUCUCGCCUUCGACAAUAGUCGCGGAAAGUGAAACAUAAGGUCACCGUGUUACUUUUACGACGGCGACAGCAACAACGGCCACAUCAGUAUUUGCGUAAAUUAAAGUCUACUUUAAACAGUGUUAUUGCCAUCCAUUUGAAUCGAAACUUGGUGAGGUUACUGAUACUAUAAUAUUGGAUGAACACAACAAUUUGUCAUUGUUAUAAGAAUCAAAGUCGCUAUAUGGCAUACUGCAUACUGCACAUGUUCUUCCCUGUCUAACCCUUCAUUAUUGAAAAAAUAAGAUCAAUUCCAUGCUAUAGAAACAUUACAACUUGUUUCUUCUUAAACAAAAACAGUUUUAAUACAUUUCAGUGAGACAGAUGCAAGUGACCACAAUGAUUCCAGUGCAUUGGCCAUCACCAAGAAAAGAAAGAGCCUUCACUGGAAAAAGAAAGAAAGAAAAAAAAACAGGGUGCCCUGGACCAAAGCUGACACUGAAAUCCUUAAGCGCAUAUUUCAUCCAUGUAUUACAUCAAAUAAGCCUCCAACAAAAAAUGAUGUUUUAUUAGGGACAAGGAAAAACACUUAUAUGAAAACAAUGUUCGAAAAAAGAGGCUGGAAGUGUAUUAAGUAUUACGUUUGGAGCCUGACACAGCAGCAUCAGAAAAAAAAGAUGAAGCUUUUGCAAGCAUCUUCUUUGCGGAACUAAAUCUAUGUUAUGUUCGUCAAGAAAUGUUUUGAUUCCAAUAAUGAAGAGUGUGCCGUUUUUGGUGUUUUACUUUACUUUUAUUUACUUGUGACGACGAAAUGACUCGGUUGAAUUAAUUCCAUUUCUUGAAAGAACCUAGGAUAGAAUUAUCUACGUACAUUUGUUUUGCAUCCAAUGAUACACUGUAUAUGUACUUAUAUCAGCAAAUGUUAAUUGGUGCUCUGAAUGAGUUAGACAUUUAGUACAUACAAUUUUCUCCUCACAAAAUUUAAAUAAUUUUCUUGCGAAUUCCCUUUGAACAUUUAGCUUGAAUCCUUAUGUCUCCAUCACCGUCAGUCUUUGCCUUUGUGGCAAAAUCCUCCAAUGUUUAUUCUAAGGCUUCUUCUGUUUCUUAAUAAUAAUUCCAUUCACUCUCCAAAAUAACUCAUCUUAAUUUGAUCCAGGGAAAUACCUGUGUUUGACAUUUAAGUGGCAAUGCAAGAUAUACAAGCGAAUGUUUGUUACCACUAUUUUUCAUUAAAAAAGAUAAAAUUAGGACCUGUUUCAUUUGUAUGGAUGAUUUUAAAUAUAUAUAAUCAAUGUCAUCAAAGUCAUAUAUUGGAAUAAGAAAUCCUGACCUUUUACAUAGUACUAUGGAAGUAUUAGAGAACUCUCAAUGAUAACAAAUCUCAGAUAUAGUGCAGAGGAAAAUGUGAAAUGUUACAUUGUAUGUGUUUAUUUAAUGCAAUAUUGCAUUCAAUAUUAGUAUGAUGCCAUGUUAUUUUCAACUUACUACAUUUCAUGUUUAAGCCUAAGGCUAUUUGGAUAUUUAUACCCUUCGAUGCAAAACAAUGCAAUGUUUGAUAUCUUUUGAAGACUGAGAGAUUUGUUUUUUUGAAUUUCAGUUAUUGUUUAAUUUGGUAUUGAAGAUAAAAAAUGUUCACUGUUGAUUUGAUUGCGAUCUUUACAGCUAGUGCUAGCUAUCUAGUUGUUAUUAUUUGUUUUUGUGUGAAUAAAUCCAUUGUAUCAA